This 1371-nucleotide ribosomal RNA is filed under the name Escherichia coli. RNAcentral describes it as "partial 23S ribosomal RNA". It matches the Rfam family "Bacterial large subunit ribosomal RNA", at positions 1292 to 2646 of the family's 2925-position model. Lineage: Bacteria; Pseudomonadati; Pseudomonadota; Gammaproteobacteria; Enterobacterales; Enterobacteriaceae. The record is from RNAcentral.
GAAUGCUGACAUAAGUAACGAUAAAGCGGGUGAAAAGCCCGCUCGCCGGAAGACCAAGGGUUCCUGUCCAACGUUAAUCGGGGCAGGGUGAGUCGACCCCUAAGGCGAGGCCGAAAGGCGUAGUCGAUGGGAAACAGGUUAAUAUUCCUGUACUUGGUGUUACUGCGAAGGGGGGACGGAGAAGGCUAUGUUGGCCGGGCGACGGUUGUCCCGGUUUAAGCGUGUAGGCUGGUUUUCCAGGCAAAUCCGGAAAAUCAAGGCUGAGGCGUGAUGACGAGGCACUACGGUGCUGAAGCAACAAAUGCCCUGCUUCCAGGAAAAGCCUCUAAGCAUCAGGUAACAUCAAAUCGUACCCCAAACCGACACAGGUGGUCAGGUAGAGAAUACCAAGGCGCUUGAGAGAACUCGGGUGAAGGAACUAGGCAAAAUGGUGCCGUAACUUCGGGAGAAGGCACGCUGAUAUGUAGGUGAAGUCCCUCGCGGAUGGAGCUGAAAUCAGUCGAAGAUACCAGCUGGCUGCAACUGUUUAUUAAAAACACAGCACUGUGCAAACACGAAAGUGGACGUAUACGGUGUGACGCCUGCCCGGUGCCGGAAGGUUAAUUGAUGGGGUUAGCCGCAAGGCGAAGCUCUUGAUCGAAGCCCCGGUAAACGGCGGCCGUAACUAUAACGGUCCUAAGGUAGCGAAAUUCCUUGUCGGGUAAGUUCCGACCUGCACGAAUGGCGUAAUGAUGGCCAGGCUGUCUCCACCCGAGACUCAGUGAAAUUGAACUCGCUGUGAAGAUGCAGUGUACCCGCGGCAAGACGGAAAGACCCCGUGAACCUUUACUAUAGCUUGACACUGAACAUUGAGCCUUGAUGUGUAGGAUAGGUGGGAGGCUUAGAAGUGUGGACGCCAGUCUGCAUGGAGCCGACCUUGAAAUACCACCCUUUAAUGUUUGAUGUUCUAACGUUGACCCGUAAUCCGGGUUGCGGACAGUGUCUGGUGGGUAGUUUGACUGGGGCGGUCUCCUCCUAAAGAGUAACGGAGGAGCACGAAGGUUGGCUAAUCCUGGUCGGACAUCAGGAGGUUAGUGCAAUGGCAUAAGCCAGCUUGACUGCGAGCGUGACGGCGCGAGCAGGUGCGAAAGCAGGUCAUAGUGAUCCGGUGGUUCUGAAUGGAAGGGCCAUCGCUCAACGGAUAAAAGGUACUCCGGGGAUAACAGGCUGAUACCGCCCAAGAGUUCAUAUCGACGGCGGUGUUUGGCACCUCGAUGUCGGCUCAUCACAUCCUGGGGCUGAAGUAGGUCCCAAGGGUAUGGCUGUUCGCCAUUUAAAGUGGUACGCGAGCUGGGUUUAGAACGUCGUGAGACAGUUCGGUCCCUAUCUGCC